Molecule: long non-coding RNA, 2335 nt
Organism: Hermetia illucens (black soldier fly)
Lineage: Eukaryota; Metazoa; Arthropoda; Insecta; Diptera; Stratiomyidae
Exons: 5
Source: RefSeq, a predicted model, not a curated record
ACGCCUUUCCGUGAUUGUUUUUGCAUAACAGACAUCUUUUUCCCUCUCAUGCUAUUUUGUUUCGAUAAGCAUAGUAUCAUAAUUUAUGGUCGCUUUCUAAACAUUAGCAACUGCAAUUUCGCUGACACUCUACUUGUUGCAGGCCGAGAACUCGUGCUUUUUCAGUAAAUUGGAAUACUUAAUACAAAUGCUUGAUGAACUCCAUCCAGCAGCAAUUUAAUUCGAUACUACACUAACGUACGGUGUAUUCUGAUAGCAAAAAAUAAGUAAUAAGUGUGGUAUGUCCCAGCAAAUUGUGCGCUUGUAGGCUAUAAUCAUUCAAUGAUAAGUGAACUGGGGAAAGCAUUUGAUAUCCUGAUGAAAGUAAUAGCCAUAUUGCGUGAAAAUACCGUACAUGUUGAUGUAAUAUCAGUUUACAAAAUAUACAGACUAAAUUUAUGUGUAAUUCAAUAUUGUGCGAUGGUCUUGCUGUGAAAUAAGUGAAUGAUGCAAUAUCAAAGUUGUAUGAAGUGUGACCAAGGGUUUUUGAGAGUUCUGUGUUUUCUAAUGACAAGGGUUCAGACAGUAGACGAAUUUUUCAGCUUCAGCCACAUCAAAAAGUGCUGCGAUCUGCCCAGCCAUUGUUAUAUAAUAAAUUUGAACAUUUAUAUGUAGAUAGAGUGAGAGUUAAAAUAUGAGUAAGACUAGGCCUGGGGGAUAAGCGCUUACUUACGCUCCAAUUUUAUGCUCCCAUCGAUUUGCUUUUAUUGUCCUUUUUGAAUAUAUCUAUCUGAGAAUACGUCUUUAAAAUUGCAAGUUGCCCGAAUAAAAUUUACUGUGAUAUGAUCGUAAAGAGAGAAGAAACCGUUCCGUAAACGACCUGCAUUUGAAAGUUUAAACGCGUUUUUCUAUAAAAUUGUGUGAAAAAUGUACAUUUUUAGAUCAUUCGAUCAAACAGACAAAGAUGAACAAUGAUCAGUUCACCACAAUUUUGGUCACCGCAAAACAUACAAAUAAAAAUACAUUUUUUUUCGACCAUUUGCAACAUAUCGUUAUAAGACUUUCUAAUAAAAAAAGACUGAAAGUUCAAUUUAUAUAAAUAAUAACGAUCGUUAAAAGGGUUUCAUAAUUUUCUUGAAAAAAAAACAUCGUGAAAACGACCUUUUUUCCACAACAAAUGGGGCUAGUCGUUUAAUUCACUUUUUAUUAUCCUUGUUUUCAGUAAUGGUGAGAAUUAUUCGUAUUUCUCGGAAGCAAUUCACCAGAACUCUCAAAGGAUCCAGCAAUUCUUAGUUCUUCACUAUCAUUACGCUGAGUUUGACCGAUUAACUAGGUUACUUGCAAUCGCUUACGUCAUACUAUGGGAAAUACAUUUUUACAAAAAGCCUUAUAGUACCUGAACUUAUAACUUAUGAUCGAGCAAGUCAACUAUAGGAUUGUCUGAAGAAAGGCAUUUUAGAAAAACUAGCUAUGAAAAGAUGUCAUUUUGGAAGUGAGAAACUCAAUUCAAGAAACACAUCAAACAAAUCAUUUUCAGUUUUCGGACUAUAAAAACUACUUAAAUAUCAUCAAAUUCCGAAUAUUCAAAAAUGAUCAUUAACCUUUUUUUGUUGUUUUUCUGUGCGUUAUAUGACUCGGACUAGCAAAUGCAUUUUUAGCGGUAUGUCUCAGGCAACGAGUUAAUGUAUAGAAUUGUUGUGAAAAUUGUUGACGAUUGUUGCACGUUUACAUGAGAGGCCUGAUCGCGGAAAGUAAUGUUGGAGGAUUUUUUUUUGUUCAGGUAAACGAGUGAGAAUAAACUUUUAAAAACCGACAUGUGCAAGGAAGCUUUGUCACCCAAGCGGAGAGCUGCGUUCACUAUCAAAGACGCUGUUAGUACACUUUAUUUCUUAAGUGAAUUCGAAAAGGGUACUAACACUUGCAUUUGAAGAAAUGAAUUAGCAAUAUACUGCAAAUUCAGAAAAUUGAUUCAUAAUUCGAAGAUUCUGCUGUCGCCAAAGGACAAUUCAGAGUUCUGGUUGUCGCUCCACACGAUUGAUGUAAUAAACAGGGCCAACUAGGAUUUUAGAAGAAGAAAUCGGCCAACCAUUCUUUGGUCUUUUCCUCGUUGACAUAUCAUCAGCAUUCCAGUUCAAUGGUGAAAUAUGCAAACUGGAAACCCGGUGAUAAGACCAUGGUCAAGGAUACUAACUACACCGAAGAACCUUCCAAUACAGUAAAUAAUGGAAAAAACCAAAUAAGAAAGUGAACGGAUAUUAUCAUUUCUUCCCAUUCUCAUUUUAUGACUAAUUUGAAGCAACAAGACUAUGCAAACAUCAUAGGGUCUUACAAAAUGUGCAUAUAGUAUUACUUAAUA